GACAGAGGGUGCAAACGUUGCUCGGAAUCACUGGGCGUAAAGGGCGUGUAGGCGGGAAGGAAAGUCAGAUGUGAGAUCCCUGGGCUCAACCCAGGAACUGCAUUUGAAACUCCCUUUCUUGAGUGUCGGAGAGGAAAGCGGAAUUCCUGGUGUAGAGGUGAAAUUCGUAGAUAUCAGGAGGAACACCGGUGGCGAAGGCGGCUUUCUGGACGACAACUGACGCUGAGACGCGAAAGCGUGGGGAGCAAACGGG
This 253-nucleotide ribosomal RNA is filed under the name uncultured bacterium. Its description in RNAcentral is "partial 16S ribosomal RNA". It matches the Rfam family "Bacterial small subunit ribosomal RNA", at positions 524 to 776 of the family's 1533-position model. The record is from RNAcentral.